UUGUAUUUCGAAGUGUUGGUGACGCAUUUCAUUUUGAUUAGACAUUCAUAUUAGGGAAACAUAGCUCAAGCUGGAUAUUGCCUAGUGAUAUUUGGCAUGUUACAUUUCAAGUCCUGCUUGAUGGCACACAGGGGUGAUGAAUUGUUAUAUAGUAUUUGCAGUGUUUUGCAACAAAGAUGUAAACUGAUUAUAUCUAUUUUUUUUUUUGCAAUACGAGAUAUUACUCUAUAGAAGACCACCAAAGAAAGCUGUUGUACAAAAGAUAUCCAGUAAUACUGCAAACAAAGGACAAUACUGUAAUGGCAAAGUAACACAAUUGAUACUAGCCACGGAUCACCUAUCAGCAAGAAAUUUGGUAAGAUACAUAGUUUUAUGGUAGUAUAAUUUCCUGGUGUCAAUUUUAACCGACUAUUUGACUAGCAUGUAAAAACAAAUUCCAUUUUCGUGUUCCUUGGUUAAUUUUGAAUCAGAAUCAUCUAUAGUUAUCUAGAUUUAAUGCUAUUAUUUUUAUAUAGGAAAAAAUUUUAAGCCCGACAAUAUAAGCCCAGCUUAUUUUUUUAACCCAGCUUUUACCGUUUUUUACGUUUAUUCAAAAACUAUGAGGGCCACGAGAAAACCAUCCUCAUAUUCGUGAUGCCCGUUCAAUUCUGCAUCGAAACCAUGUAUUUAAAGCGAAAUCUAAAAUUUUGCCAAAAUUGAAAAAGUAAGAAGGCCUUCUCACUUUUCCAAUUUUCUUCAAAUCCUAGAUUUCAUUAAAAAUACUUUAUUCCGACUCGAAAUUGAUCGCUAAUCAGGAAAAUGUGGUUUAUUUUUAUAUCAGGCUUCUACUUUUUGAAUAAACCGUAAAAAACAGAAAGUCGGGCUUAUUUUGUCGGGUUUAUUUAGUCGGGCUUAAAAAUUUUUUCGGUCAGUGUACGCAGAGAAUUAACUAGAAACGUGACCGGUAGAUGGCGAUAGCAGUAUUCAAUUCGAUGGAUUGUCCGUUUUUUUAAUUGAACUUUAGAAAACGCCCCAUAGGUGGCUGAAUGUCCUUUUUUUAGGAAAGUGACAACUGUAAAACAUGGGACUGGAUUGCGGUAUUUACAUCGUGCAAUGCAGCUGUUUUUUUUUAUAUAUUGAAUAUUACGAUGCACUGUUUUUCGCCAGUGUGCUGUACCAUACUGUCGCGCCAACUUUGGUUUGGAAAAAGUCGGGCUUAUUUUUUUAGUCGUGCUUAUUUUCAAGCCCCUAACUUCUUGAACAUCGGGAGCCGUUGAGUGAAAUAAAACUGGAUACCUUACCAAUAGAUGGCUAUACCGUUUGGUGGGUCGUCUGCAGCAUAAAUCCAAGGUUCAUCAUAUGUGAUGGCAUUCGCGUUACCUUUUAGCCAAGCCCUACUCUACAAUGGGAUAAAUUUUUCGCAGAAUAAGAAUCUCCUAGACCUAUGUGUUGCUGUAUCAUUCUGAUGUGGUGUGACAGUACUGGUUGGUGGGGUUAUCUAGAAACAAACCUUUUCCAUUUCCCCAUCCAAUCUGUGAGACAACUUUGAUUAUUUGCUAUAGCUAGAACAGUAAUGCAAAGAGAAAAAAUGUUCACAUUUUCUUUAGUGAACUGUUCCCUCAUUGACAAAAAUAGGAAUAUUUAGUUGAAGCAACUCUGAUGAUAUUCAGUUGCAGUAAUUGGAUCUUGUUUCCCUUUUCAUGAAGGGUGUUUUGUCGUACCGGCAAUUGAAGAUGCUGCCAAAGAUUAUGGAUUUUCUUUCAAUAGCUACCACUCUGCGAAAGACGUCUUCCUAAACAAUUCGAAAAGAAAGUUCCAAAUGCCAAGCCGAUAGAGAUGGUUUACAUAUUGUCAAUCGAAAACUGUCUCUAUCGUGAAAAGGAUAUGGAUAUUUUGGUCAAGCCCUCACUCAUUGUGUGUUCAAAGUGAGUGACAUGGUUACGUUCACAUUGAAAAUGUAAUCCACAUCUCCUAUGUUAUGGUAUUUGUAUCUUUCAAAUUGAAGCACAAAGAUAGGUUUCUCAUCUUUUCUGUGGCCCCAUUUUACCUUGAUCUGAAUUUUCUCUGUCAUUCCAGGUUUCAUGAUGAAAUUUUGCAGCUAUCCGUAAAAGAUGUCAAGCAGUUACAUUUCCCUGUUUCAGAAUAGAAAACGAAAAGAGAUGCUAAAUUUUCAAAGAACGCUACCCAGACGACACAGCUAAUUGCUGAUUCAUCCCGAACAGUAAACAUAUUUAUUACCAUAAAUUAAAGUGCAUAUCUGGGCUCCCUUCUUUCUGUGGCCCCGUUUCCCCUAAAUUUCUAAUAAGCCCGUAGGGGGUCAUGCCCCUACUGUACGGUAUAUUUAAAAACAACAUAUACCGAGGUUUGGAGGGCUCUGGCCGGAAAGGGGACGUGGGGUUCCGCUUAGUCCGAUGAUGUGUUCACGGAGGGCGACGUGGAUGCCCACAAAUCCGAACUAAAGGUUAAUCGCUCCUGUAAAAAUGUUCCAAAUCUUCGGCUCUUCUUCCGGCUUCUCUUAGCCAAUCACCGGGUAAUCUCCCCGGUGGGUCAACAAGGCAGUGUCUCCCCCUGCCUGGGUUGACGGCAACUAUUGAAAGGGCUAUUGCGCCCUUUUAAAGUUGCAAAAAUAUUUCUAAUGUGCAGAGA
Long non-coding RNA from Daphnia carinata, 2625 nucleotides. RefSeq lists it as uncharacterized. The transcript is spliced from 4 exons. The record is from RefSeq and is a predicted model, not a curated record. NCBI's taxonomy places the organism in Eukaryota, Metazoa, Arthropoda, Branchiopoda, Diplostraca, Daphniidae.